UGCAAAAAAAAAAAAAAAGUGACAAAUUUUUGCGGACUAAAUGUGGGUCUUCAUGCAAAGAUUUAUGAACACAAAUAAAAUAAAGUUGAAAUGUUAACAAUUUUAUAUAACAGACUAAUUAAUACGAAGUAUUCGAUUAGGAAAGAAAAACUAUAAUAAGAAAAUAGAGAUGGGGCAUUCCGAGAAUUGAACUCGGGACCUCUCGCACCCUAAGCGAGAAUCAUACCACUAGACCAAAUGCCCAUUGUUGAAUCCUGAAGAAACUUAUAGUUAUAUAAAUUGUUGUAAUUAGAAUGGGCCUGAAUGCCUAACACGGUUCCUAGGACUACUCGAAAACAAAUCAAACAUAGUAAUUGUGACCCAAAUCAAUUAAUCAAUCAAACAUACAAAACUGCAAUUCAUUUUUAGGGUUCUUUCAGAAAUCGGAUCAAAAGAGGAGAGAGAAAAAGGAGAGCAUUGAAAAAAUGGUAGGAGCAUCAUCAACAGGAAUGUUCAAGUUUUUGAAGCCAACGAUGCGACCUCAAACAACCGAUAUUAAAGCCGCCGUUGGUUGGGGUGUCGCCGCCGCCACCGGAGGCCUUUAUCUCGUCCAGCCCUGGGGUUGGAUCAAGAGGACUUUUAUUGACAAGCCAGAAGAGGAGAAUAAAUGAAGUUGAAGCUUUGCCAAAAUCCUCCUUGUGGUCUUGGAAGAAUAUUGUACCCAGCCUUGAAAUCUAAUAAUACGUUAUGGUUUUUACUAUUUCCUGUCUAAGAGAUGGCGAGGCUUUUUGGUGUUAGUUUUUGCAAUCAACAUUGAAACUAAUUUAGACGGAUUACAGUUAUAUCCUUUCAAUGAUUCAUUUCAUUUUUGCAAAUUGCAAUAAGCACUCUCAACACUAUUGGAGAUGGGUUUCUGGUUUAAAUCUAAAGCUAAAUGUAUGAUGUAUUUAGUUUAGCCGAUUUUGUUAAAGUUUGAGAGACUGUUUCAUUUCA
Long non-coding RNA from Spinacia oleracea (spinach), 972 nucleotides. RefSeq lists it as uncharacterized. NCBI's taxonomy places the organism in Eukaryota, Viridiplantae, Streptophyta, Magnoliopsida, Caryophyllales, Amaranthaceae. The transcript has 2 exons. The record is from RefSeq and is a predicted model, not a curated record.